GUUCCCAUUGGAAUGCUCGACAUAAUGUUUCCAAAAUCUACUACCAUCCAUUGGAGGUGGGUGUGAUUCCCAUGAGCAUUCAAAAUAGGAUUUGUGCCUCCUAAACCCCAAAGUGGGUGGGAGUUCUAGUUUGGAUGUGCAUAGGAGUCUGAUCCACGACCAAUGGAUGUUGGGACAUUUUGGAACACAGUCUCCAGCAUUCCCAUGGUUAGACAUCGUCUUUUCCCUAUGAUGGUACGUCGCAUCUCCUUGUUGUAUGAAGUGCUUUAUUCUGGCAUUUAGGUUCCUCCUGUGGUGCUCCCCCUUCCUUCACAAGGACAGAGCAUGGAAAGGCAUCCCCAUCCUAGAAUGGUACCAAACCCAUCGCACCGAACACAAGUGGUAAGCAUGGCAGAGUUUUUCUCAUUACGAUACCAAACAUAUUGUACCAGGCAUAAUUAUUAGCGAUGAGAGGAAGGCUUACUCAAAAUAGUUUUGGAACAUUGGAAAACAUAUAAUGAUGCACUGGUUGUGAAAAUUAGAUUACAUGACCUUGUUAAAACAAUAAGGUUAGUGCCUGGAGAUGAAUUAUUUGUUGUCAUUGUUAAUAGCAUGCUACACAGGCUAUUUCUGUAAUGGAUGGAGAUGAUUGAUAUGUUCUUGGUUACCGAAGCAUGGGAGACGAUGAGAACUCGAGUGGAGGUUUUGAUAUAUGUUUUGGAAGCCAAUGAGUGGGUUCCUGGUUUAAAG
This is a long non-coding RNA of Magnolia sinica, 729 nucleotides long. RefSeq lists it as uncharacterized. The record is from RefSeq and is a predicted model, not a curated record. The transcript has 3 exons. Lineage: Eukaryota; Viridiplantae; Streptophyta; Magnoliopsida; Magnoliales; Magnoliaceae.